Molecule: long non-coding RNA, 478 nt
Filed under: Anas platyrhynchos platyrhynchos (common mallard)
Lineage: Eukaryota; Metazoa; Chordata; Aves; Anseriformes; Anatidae
Description: lncRNA (ENSAPLG00000028997.1)
Source: RNAcentral
GCUGAUACGAAAAAAGCAGUAUAAAUACAGAACAAGUUGCAAGGUAUGCUGCUGCACAAUGUGGAGAGGCUGCAACUACGAGGAUGCAUCAUUACACACAUGGGUGACAGAGAAAAGUAUUUGUAGAUUAUACAUGUAUAUGUAUGGGAACCAUUGAUCUCACCUUUUCGUAGACUGUGAGAGAAGAUCUUGACUGAAAUGGACGGGACAUGUCAUCAUUCUCCUUCACACUCAAGGGAAAAGACUCUCAAGGGUCUGAAUCAAUGAAAGAAACAUCUAGAGUCGGACAAUUGGAACUGAUGUGAUUUACAUAUGUGAAUGAAAAUGUCCAUCUUUGGAAAUUUUUCAGUAAGGUAUUUGAGAAUGUAUAAUUUAGCUAAGUAUCUAGCCACUAUAUCUGGAAUCAAUUAGUUACAUGUUGAUGCAAAAUACACUACAUAUUAAUAAACUGACAAAGGAAAGAUAAAGACUUAAGUUA